UGGGACUACCGGGGUAUCUAAUCCUGUUCGCUACCCAUGCUUUCGCUCCUCAGCGUCAGUUACUACCCAGAGACCUGCCUUCGCCAUCGGUGUUCUUCCUGAUAUCUGUGCAUUCCACCGCUACACCAGAAAUUCCAGUCUCCCCUGUAGUACUCAAGUCAGCCCGUAUCGCCUGCACGUCCAGGGUUAAGCCCUAGGAUUUCACAGACGACGUGACAAACCGCCUACGAGCUCUUUACGCCCAAUAAUUCCGGAUAACGCUCGCACCCUACGUAUUACCGCGGCGGCUGGCACU
RNAcentral lists this unclassified non-coding RNA (295 nucleotides) under uncultured fungus. RNAcentral's name for it is "sequence contains ITS1". Lineage: Eukaryota; Fungi. The record is from RNAcentral.